This is an RNA transcript of Papaver somniferum (opium poppy), 1761 nucleotides long. It is a transcript of the gene named FACT complex subunit SPT16-like, with no coding region annotated. NCBI's taxonomy places the organism in Eukaryota, Viridiplantae, Streptophyta, Magnoliopsida, Ranunculales, Papaveraceae. The transcript is spliced from 3 exons. The record is from RefSeq and is a predicted model, not a curated record.
GUUUUUUCAUCAUACAAAAAGAAAAAGAAGAGUACGAGGUCACAAAGAUCAGAUUUUUUUUCUUCCGAUUAGCGUUUAAGAUUCAGUUCUGCAUAUCGUUUCAAUGGCAGUUGUAUUGGAAAACUUUCAGAGAACACCGUUUGUUGAAAGAUUUUCAGAGGAUGAAAGGGAGGAGAUGCGUAUGGAGAAUCAGGCAAUACUUGCUCGAUGGUUGAAGAAGGAAGAUGAACGAAGAUUGUUGAGUGUUACUACUCAGUGCAGCGAAACAGAAGCAGAUAAUUCUGAAAUAACAUAUCGUCCGGGAUAUAUAAAGAAACCGUGGUUUGAAAAUGUUCCAUGGGUUGAAAUUGGAAAAAGACAACCUGGGUCUAUCACUGGUUCGUUUGUGCAUGAAAAAAAAGACAGGGUAAUAAGGCUUACUGGUGUUGCGAUCCUUCCCAAGGUAGGAGGCCAAGGUGAAAAAAGAGGGACCAUUAUCGGUACCCUUGAAGCCCAUGUGAACGGGUACAUAUACACGUCCUCCAGUUUCCGCAAGCAUUUUUAUUUUGACGAUAUCCAAUAUUCCUUCUUCCGACUUGGGGACAGCACGCUGCCGCCUCUCUUACACUUUCAUAUGCAUCCCCCCUUGAAGAAGAAGAAGAAGAAAGAAGAUACAAAAGAGUUUGAAUUCCAUUUGGUGAAAUGCCCUCCGGGACAGAAUAGACAAAGGAGGUCUCAUCAUGAUUCAGAUAAGAUUGAGAAGCAAAACAUCUCGGACAAUGAACGUUUGAAGAACUUUGUCGACGAAGUUCAUGCUCCAUGGGAUACCCUGCCUAUAUCACCUCGUCUUUUUGUCAAGCUAGCGAAGGAGUACGAGUUUGAUGGGAAUAUUCACUGGAAGGGAUCAUCCGUCUAUUCACACCCCACCUUUGUCCUGACUCCAUAUGACCUAAUUGUGCUUGUAGAAACACCCUUCACUGUGUUCCCGAUGGAAGAAAUUGAGAUUGUUAAUCUGUCGGUUCUGGGAUCUGAGAAAAUCAAUAUGGCAGUCAUAUUUAAGGACUUUAAGGAGGAGAGCGUGCUUUUAAUCAAUGCAAUUCCCUUAAAGGCGUUUGCUGCCAUAAAAGAUCGCCUCAACUCUGGUUUUGUGAAGUACUAUGUCAACACUAAAGAAAUAGACUGGAAGGCCACGGUGAGGGACAUAGCAGCUUUCCCGGAGAGAUUCAUAAGCAUGGGUGGAUGGGAUCAAUUUGAACUCGAGGAUGGUCAUACUUUGGCAUACAACUGCCGUCCGCCGAAGAGAAACUUGGUGGUGAUGAAGGAGCGAAAAAAUGGUAGUGAAGCAUGAGAAAGGUUGAUGUUAGACCAGCAAGUGUAGUGUCUCUUUUGAAUGGGCAUGCAGCUUUGUUUAAUCGCAGUCUGGUGGACCGGGAUGGGAUGUUCUGAUGGGUAGAAAGGACACCUAGCAAAACAGAUGCGAAUAACAACAUUCUAGCAUCGUUGAAGCAGCUCUGCUCCAACUCCGAAACUGACAGCAGUGCAACUCUAACAGCUCUCGACUUGGCAACACCAGCACUAACCGGUUUAUAGAAGGUUGCUGCAACUGUUGCUGGCGACGCAUCUGUGGUUGAUCCGACUUUGUUGUGACUGAGGGCAUUCUUGGGUUGAUAGGACCUGUGGUUGAGACUGAGAUUGUAACUGUUAUUCCAGAGGUUUUUGUGGAUGAUGUUGUUUUUGCUGCUGUCAUUGCUCAAAUAAGAUUAACCCUUCGGGCUUCUCCCA